This 254-nucleotide ribosomal RNA is filed under the name uncultured bacterium. Its description in RNAcentral is "partial 16S ribosomal RNA". It matches the Rfam family "Bacterial small subunit ribosomal RNA", at positions 524 to 776 of the family's 1533-position model. The record is from RNAcentral.
UACGUAGGGGGCAAGCGUUGUCCGGAUUUAUUGGGCGUAAAGAGCUCGUAGGUGGUUCGGUAAGUCGGGUGUGAAAACUCCAGGCUCAACCUGGAGACGCCACCUGAUACUGCUGUGGCUAGAGUCCGGUAGGGGAGCAUGGAAUUCCUGGUGUAGCGGUGAAAUGCGCAGAUAUCAGGAGGAACACCAGUGGCGAAGGCGGUGCUCUGCGCCGGAACUGACGCUGAGGAGCGAAAGCGUGGGGAGCAAACAGG